RNAcentral lists this ribosomal RNA (370 nucleotides) under Streptomycetaceae bacterium ACTS105. RNAcentral describes it as "bacterial SSU rRNA". It matches the Rfam family "Bacterial small subunit ribosomal RNA", at positions 33 to 406 of the family's 1533-position model. Lineage: Bacteria; Bacillati; Actinomycetota; Actinomycetes; Kitasatosporales; Streptomycetaceae. The record is from RNAcentral.
ACGCUGGCGGCGUGCUUAACACAUGCAAGUCGAACGAUGAACCACUUCGGUGGGGAUUAGUGGCGAACGGGUGAGUAACACGUGGGCAAUCUGCCCUGCACUCUGGGACAAGCCCUGGAAACGGGGUCUAAUACCGGAUACUGAUCAUCUUAGGCAUCUUGGAUGAUCGAAAGCUCCGGCGGUGCAGGAUGAGCCCGCGGCCUAUCAGCUAGUUGGUGAGGUAAUGGCUCACCAAGGCGACGACGGGUAGCCGGCCUGAGAGGGCGACCGGCCACACUGGGACUGAGACACGGCCCAGACUCCUACGGGAGGCAGCAGUGGGGAAUAUUGCACAAUGGGCGAAAGCCUGAUGCAGCGACGCCGCGUGAGG